UCGGCCGCCUCUGGGUCCCGCUUGAAAUUCUGUAGAAGCCUGAAAGCUCGCGGAGCGCGGACUCCGAGUGAGUUUGAGGAUGUGUGCGGCUGGUGGCUGCGCCGGGGCCCCCGCGGAGAAGGUGGGGGGCCCCGACACCCGCUUGCUUGGACCGUGCGCUAUGAGAAGAUGCUUCCCCUGACGGGAAUGGAGUACCAAUCACUGGCACUAUUGGAAAAACUGAUAGAAGGCUGUGGAUUACAGACAGAUGAGGAAACUGAGGCACUGAGGACUUCAGGAACUUGCCCACUGUUUCACAGCCAGGAAGAGGCAGAUUGCAGAUUUGGAGCCCAGAGAGUGCUGUUCUUAGUGUACACUGCCUCCUUGAUGCUGCUGGUCUCCCCCGGUGCCACCUCCAGCUUCGGGCUCCAGAACCUUCACGGUCAGGCUCUGGGUUCUGACCUUUUCCUGUCUUCAGCAACUAAAGAAUAAGAAGCAGGCAGAGACACAGAUGCUCCACGGCAGCCCUCCACGGACACCCAGCAAGCGGCGAGGUCUGGCACCCAGCACUCUGGGCAAAGUGCGCAAGGUUCUAAGCUCCCAGGAUUCCAUUAUCACUGAGAUGCUAAGAGUGAACAGAUGUAAAGUGUCAAAAGCUAAAUGAGAAAAAGAAGAGAACGGUCAUUCGGAGCCCCAGCAAGUAUCAUGGAACGCCCUGGGAUGUGCCCAGGAAACUAGAGUCACCGGAGGCUCACUUCAAAAGCUGGUCUUCAGUUGCGGCUGAGCAAAGUCCCGGCCUGCGGGUUCCAGCCCGUUGACACUGGAUCACGAAACACAAAUAGGUGUCAUUACUUCUACCAGUUUGAGGAGAAAAACACCCGCUGGUGUCAAGCCUGGAACCAAUGAGAAGAACCUGGAGCUCAUUGGCAGCAUCCUCAGUGAAGGAUCCGUCCCUCUCUGACAGCUCCACUGUUGGGCUUCAGGCACUGUUUGCACUACUGGAAGCAAAAGCACAGAGGAAUCAAUACCAUCUUCAACUGGUGGGACAGGUUUCCUUGCUGUGCUCCUCUGAUGGAUGUGCAAGAUCAAGGAAUAUUCGGCAGGAGGGCGAGAGGGAGAGAAGUCUCCCGGGGAGAUGGACAAGUCGACAGGAAGCUUCAUCGUGGGAGAGGCCAGCACAGGAAAUGAGAUCCUCCCACCAGAGAGAUGGAGCAGGUGCUGCAGGAACAGAGCUAGCUGGCGAUGCAGGUGGCAUCAGUAUUGUAUGCAGAUCUCAGGCAGCAGCGAGCAGUCCAACAGGGAACGGCUGGUAUUUCAAGACAGCACGCCAUCUGUUUGGGUGUGUGUGGAGGGUAAGGGUGUCAGUUACACACAGUAGCAGAGCCACCCUAAGUAGUGGGCGUUGCUCAGACGGGGAAUGGAAGUAA
Molecule: long non-coding RNA, 1406 nt
Filed under: Sus scrofa (pig)
Lineage: Eukaryota; Metazoa; Chordata; Mammalia; Artiodactyla; Suidae
Description: lncRNA (ENSSSCG00060046602.1)
Source: RNAcentral